RNAcentral lists this ribosomal RNA (207 nucleotides) under uncultured bacterium. Its description in RNAcentral is "partial 16S ribosomal RNA". It matches the Rfam family "Bacterial small subunit ribosomal RNA", at positions 568 to 774 of the family's 1533-position model. The record is from RNAcentral.
UGUGUAGGUGGCGCGCUAAGUCGGGUGUGAAAUUUCGGAGCUUAACUCCGAAACUGCAUUCGAUACUGGCGCGCUUGAGGACUGGAGAGGAGACUGGAAUUUACGGUGUAGCAGUGAAAUGCGUAGAUAUCGUAAGGAAGACCAGUGGCGAAGGCGGGUCUCUGGACAGUUCCUGACACUGAGGCACGAAGGCCAGGGGAGCAAACG